CUUGCUGGGCGGAUUAGUGGCGAACGGGUGAGUAAUACGUGAGUAACCUGCCCUUGACUCUGGGAUAAGCCUGGGAAACUGGGUCUAAUACUGGAUACUACCUCUUGCCGCAUGGUGGGUGGUGGAAAGGGUUUUACUGGUUUUGGAUGGGCUCACGGCCUAUCAGCUUGUUGGUGGGGUAAUGGCUCACCAAGGCGACGACGGGUAGCCGGCCUGAGAGGGUGACCGGCCACACUGGGACUGAGACACGGCCCAGACUCCUACGGGAGGCAGCAGUGGGGAAUAUUGCACAAUGGGCGGAAGCCUGAUGCAGCGACGCCGCGUGAGGGAUGACGGCCUUCGGGUUGUAAACCUCUUUCAGUAGGGAAGAAGCGAGAGUGACGGUACCUGCAGAAGAAGCGCCGGCUAACUACGUGCCAGCAGCCGCGGUAAUACGUAGGGCGCAAGCGUUGUCCGGAAUUAUUGGGCGUAAAGAGCUCGUAGGCGGUUUGUCGCGUCUGCUGUGAAAGCCCGGGGCUCAACCCCGGGUCUGCAGUGGGUACGGGCAGACUAGAGUGCAGUAG
RNAcentral lists this ribosomal RNA (563 nucleotides) under uncultured bacterium. RNAcentral's name for it is "bacterial SSU rRNA". It matches the Rfam family "Bacterial small subunit ribosomal RNA", at positions 79 to 654 of the family's 1533-position model. The record is from RNAcentral.